UGGGGAAUCUUAGACAACGGGGGCAACCUGAUCUAGCCAUGCCGCGUGAGUGAUGAAGGCCUUAGGGUGUAAAGCUCUUUCAGCUGGGAAGAUAAUGACGGUACUUGAGGAGGAAGCCCCGGCUAACUACGUGCCAGCAGCCGCGGUAAUACGUAGGGGGCUAGCGUUAUCCGGAAUUACUGGGCGUAAAGGGUGCGUAGGUGGUUUUUUAAGUCAGAAGUGAAAGGCUACGGCUCAACCGUAGUAAGCUUUUGAAACUAAAGAACUUGAGUGCAGGAGAGGAGAGUAGAAUUCCUAGUGUAGCGGUGAAAUGCGUAGAUAUUAGGAGGAAUACCAGUAGCGAAGGCGGCUCUCUGGACUGUAACUGACACUGAGGCACGAAAGCGUGGGGAGCAAACAGGAUUAGAUACCCUGGUAGUCCACGCCGUAAACGAUGAGUACUAGGUGUCGGGGGUUACCCCCCUCGGUGCCGCGGCUAACGCAUUAAGUACUCCGCCUGGGAAGUACGCUCGCAAGAGUG
This 520-nucleotide ribosomal RNA is filed under the name uncultured Bacillota bacterium. RNAcentral describes it as "bacterial SSU rRNA". It matches the Rfam family "Bacterial small subunit ribosomal RNA", at positions 355 to 896 of the family's 1533-position model. Lineage: Bacteria; Bacillati; Bacillota. The record is from RNAcentral.